RNAcentral lists this ribosomal RNA (452 nucleotides) under uncultured Methylibium sp. RNAcentral's name for it is "bacterial SSU rRNA". It matches the Rfam family "Bacterial small subunit ribosomal RNA", at positions 925 to 1382 of the family's 1533-position model. The record is from RNAcentral. Lineage: Bacteria; Pseudomonadati; Pseudomonadota; Betaproteobacteria; Burkholderiales; Sphaerotilaceae.
ACAAGCGGUGGAGUAUGUGGUUUAAUUCGAUGCAACGCGAAAACCUUACCUACCCUUGACAUGUCUAGAAGUCUCCAGAGAUGGAUUCGUGCUCGAAAGAGAGCUAGAACACAGGUGCUGCAUGGCCGUCGUCAGCUCGUGUCGUGAGAUGUUGGGUUAAGUCCCGCAACGAGCGCAACCCUUAUCAUUAGUUGCUACGCAAGGGCACUCUAAUGAGACUGCCGGUGACAAACCGGAGGAAGGUGGGGAUGACGUCAGGUCAUCAUGGCCCUUAUGGGUAGGGCUACACACGUCAUACAAUGGCCGGUACAGAGGGCUGCCAACCCGCGAGGGGGAGCUAAUCUCAGAAAACCGGUCGUAGUCCGGAUCGCAGUCUGCAACUCGACUGCGUGAAGUCGGAAUCGCUAGUAAUCGCGGAUCAGCUUGCCGCGGUGAAUACGUUCCCGGGUCUU